Molecule: ribosomal RNA, 497 nt
Filed under: uncultured bacterium
Lineage: Bacteria
Description: partial 16S ribosomal RNA
Rfam family: Bacterial small subunit ribosomal RNA
Source: RNAcentral
GAUGAACGCUGGCGGCGUGCCUAAUACAUGCAGGUCGAGCGAACAGACGAGGAGCUUGCUCCUCUGACGUUAGCGGCGGACGGGUGAGUAACACGUGGAUAACCUACCUAUAAGACUGGGAUAACUUCGGGAAACCGGAGCUAAUACCGGAUAAUAUUUUGAACCGCAUGGUUCAAUAGUGAAAGACGGUUUUGCUGUCACUUAUGGAUGGAUCCGCGCCGCAUUAGCUAGUUGGUAAGGUAACGGCUUACCAAGGCAACGAUGCGUAGCCGACCUGAGAGGGUGAUCGGCCACACUGGAACUGAGACACGGUCCAGACUCCUACGGGAGGCAGCAGUAGGGAAUCUUCCGCAAUGGGCGAAAGCUUGACGGAGCAACGCCGCGUGAGUGAUGAAGGUCUUCGGAUCGUAAAACUCUGUUAUUAGGGAAGAACAAAUGUGUAAGUAACUGUGCACGUCUUGACGGUACCUAAUCAGAAAGCCACGGCUAACUACGUG